This 497-nucleotide ribosomal RNA is filed under the name uncultured bacterium. RNAcentral describes it as "partial 16S ribosomal RNA". It matches the Rfam family "Bacterial small subunit ribosomal RNA", at positions 28 to 507 of the family's 1533-position model. The record is from RNAcentral.
GAUGAACGCUGGCGGCGUGCCUAAUACAUGCAAGUCGAGCGAACGGACGAGAAGCUUGCUUCUCUGAUGUUAGCGGCGGACGGGUGAGUAACACGUGGAUAACCUACCUAUAAGACUGGGAUAACUUCGGGAAACCGGAGCUAAUACCGGAUGAUAUUUUGAACCGCAUGGUUCAAAAGUGAAAGACGGUCUUGCUGUCACUUAUAGAUGGAUCCGCUCUGCAUUAGCUAGUUGGUAAGGUAACGGCUUACCAAGGCAACGAUGCAUAGCCGACCUGAGAGGGUGAUCGGCCACACUGGAACUGAGACACGGUCCAGACUCCUACGGGAGGCAGCAGUAGGGAAUCUUCCGCAAUGGGCGAAAGCCUGACGGAGCAACGCCGCGUGAGUGAUGAAGGUCUUCGGAUCGUAAAACUCUGUUAUUAGGGAAGAACAUAUGUGUAAGUAACCGUGCACAUCUUGACGGUACCUAAUCAGAAAGCCACGGCUAACUACGUG